Homo sapiens (human) is the source of this 103-nucleotide small nuclear RNA. The record is from Ensembl. Lineage: Eukaryota; Metazoa; Chordata; Mammalia; Primates; Hominidae.
UUGCUUUGGCAGCAUGUAUGCUAAAAUCGGAAGGAUACAGAGAAGAUUAGCAUGGCCCCUGUGCAAGGAUGACAUGCAAAUUUGUGAAGUGUUCCAUAUUUUU